This 497-nucleotide ribosomal RNA is filed under the name uncultured bacterium. RNAcentral's name for it is "partial 16S ribosomal RNA". It matches the Rfam family "Bacterial small subunit ribosomal RNA", at positions 28 to 507 of the family's 1533-position model. The record is from RNAcentral.
GAUGAACGCUGGCGGCGUGCCUAAUACAUGCAAGUCGAGCGAACGGACGAGAAGCUUGCUUCUCUGAUGUUAGCGGCGGACGGGUGAGUAACACGUGGAUAACCUACCUAUAAGACUGGGAUAACUUCGGGAAACCGGAGCUAAUACCGGAUAAUAUUUUGAACCGCAUGGUUCAAAAGUGAAAGACGGUCUUGCUGUCACUUAUAGAUGGAUCCGCGCUACAUUAGCUAGUUGGUAAGGUAACGGCUUACCAAGGCAACGAUGCAUAGCCGACCUGAGAGGGUGAUCGGCCACACUGGAACUGAGACACGGUCCAGACUCCUACGGGAGGCAGCAGUAGGGAAUCUUCCGCAAUGGGCGAAAGCCUGACGGAGCAACGCCGCGUGAGUGAUGAAGGUCUUCGGAUCGUAAAACUCUGUUAUUAGGGAAGAACAUAUGUGUAAGUAACUGUGCACAUCUUGACGGCACCUAAUCAGAAAGCCACGGCUAACUACGUG